AGGGCCCAAGAGGUAGAAAAUUUCACCAAGUGUUAGGAUUUAGUCAUUUAUAAAUCCCCUAAACUUCGAUAAUUAUAUUUUAGACCUUCCUGAUAUCAGAAAGUUAAUUUUUAAGUUGAUUCAUGGUUGGGGUUGUAAAUAGAACAUCUCGGGUGACUUUCGAAAUUAUUGAAUGAGCGUAAGGGCAUGUUUGGAAGUACAAAAUAGUACCAAAAUUGGGAUAAGUCC
This 228-nucleotide long non-coding RNA is filed under the name Capsicum annuum. RNAcentral describes it as "long non-coding RNA (CANN_LNC018906)". The record is from RNAcentral. Lineage: Eukaryota; Viridiplantae; Streptophyta; Magnoliopsida; Solanales; Solanaceae.